This 526-nucleotide ribosomal RNA is filed under the name uncultured bacterium. RNAcentral's name for it is "bacterial SSU rRNA". It matches the Rfam family "Bacterial small subunit ribosomal RNA", at positions 26 to 518 of the family's 1533-position model. The record is from RNAcentral.
GGCUCGAGGACGAACGCUGGCGGCGUGCCUAAUACAUGCAAGUCGAACGGUCUUUCUAUGGAAGCUUGCUUCCACUGAGAAGAUAGUGGCGAACGGGUGAGUAACACGUGGGUAACCUGCCCAUAAGAGGGGGGAUAACAUCCGGAAACGGGUGCUAAUACCGCAUAGUUUUCUUGAUCGCAUGAUUGAGAAAGGAAAGACGGCCUUUGUGCUGUCGCUUAUGGAUGGACCCGCGGCGUAUUAGUUAGUUGGUGAGGUAACGGCUCACCAAGACGAUGAUACGUAGCCGACCUGAGAGGGUGAUCGGCCACAUUGGGACUGAGACACGGCCCAAACUCCUACGGGAGGCAGCAGUAGGGAAUCUUCCGCAAUGGACGAAAGUCUGACGGAGCAACGCCGCGUGAGUGAAAGAAGGUUUUCGGAUCGUAAAACUCUGUUGUCAGAGAAGAACAAGUUGGAGAGUAACUGCUCCAGCCUUGACGGUAUCUGACCAGAAAGCCACGGCUAACUACGUGCCAGCCGCCGC